Molecule: ribosomal RNA, 206 nt
Filed under: uncultured bacterium
Lineage: Bacteria
Description: partial 16S ribosomal RNA
Rfam family: Bacterial small subunit ribosomal RNA
Source: RNAcentral
AGAUUGCAGGCUGCAACCCGCCUGCAUGAAGUCGGAAUUGCUAGUAAUCGCGGAUCAGCAUGCCGCGGUGAAUACGUUCCCGGGCCUUGUACACACCGCCCGUCACACCAUGGGAGCCGGUAAUACCCGAAGUCAGUAGUCCAACCUCGUGAGGACGCUGCCGAAGGUAGGAUUGGCGACUGGGGGUGAAGUCGUAACAAGGUACC